CUUUAGGUUGUGGACCAUUGGCUGGAUGUACUUUAGGUUGUGUCCCAUUGGCUGGAUGUACUUUAGGCUGUGUCCCAUUGGCUGGAUGUACUUUAGGUUGUGUCCCAUUGGCUGAAUGUACUUUAGGUUGUGGACCAUUGGCUGGAUGUAC
This is a long non-coding RNA of Oncorhynchus keta (chum salmon), 151 nucleotides long. RefSeq lists it as uncharacterized. The transcript has 3 exons. Lineage: Eukaryota; Metazoa; Chordata; Actinopteri; Salmoniformes; Salmonidae. The record is from RefSeq and is a predicted model, not a curated record.